AUUGAACGCUGGCGGCAUGCUUUACACAUGCAAGUCGAACGGCAGCACGGGUGCUUGCACCUGGUGGCGAGUGGCGAACGGGUGAGUAAUGCAUCGGAACGUGCCCAUGAGUGGGGGAUAGCCCGGCGAAAGCCGGAUUAAUACCGCAUACGCCCUUAGGGGGAAAGCGGGGGGAUCUUCGGACCUCGCGCUAUUGGAGCGGCCGAUGUCGGAUUAGCUAGUAGGUGAGGUAAAGGCUCACCUAGGCGACGAUCCGUAGCUGGUCUGAGAGGAUGAUCAGCCACACUGGGACUGAGGCACGGCCCAGACUCCUACGGGAGGCAGCAGUGGGGAAUUUUGGACAAUGGGCGCAAGCCUGAUCCAGCCAUGCCGCGUGAGUGACGAAGGCCUUCGGGUUGUAAAGCUCUUUCAGGUGGAAAGAAAUAGCGCUGUUUAAUAGAUGGCGUUGAUGACGGUACCACCAGAAGAAGCACCGGCUAACUACGUG
This 487-nucleotide ribosomal RNA is filed under the name uncultured bacterium. Its description in RNAcentral is "bacterial SSU rRNA". It matches the Rfam family "Bacterial small subunit ribosomal RNA", at positions 30 to 507 of the family's 1533-position model. The record is from RNAcentral.